GAUGAACGCUGGCGGCGUGCCUAAUACAUGCAAGUCGAGCGAACGGACGAGAAGCUUGCUCCUCUGAUGUUAGCGGCGGACGGGUGAGUAACACGUGGAUAACCUACCUAUAAGACUGGGAUAACUUCGGGAAACCGGAGCUAAUACCGGAAAAUAUAUUGAACCGCAUGGUUCAAAAGUGAAAGACGGUAUUGCGGUCACUUAUAGAUGGAUCCGCGCUGCAUUAGCUAGUUGGUAAGGUAACGGCUUACCAAGGCAACGAUGCAUAGCCGACCUGAGAGGGUGAUUGGCCACACUGGAACGGAGACUCGGUCCAGACUCCUACGGUAGGCAGCAGUAGGGAAUCUUCCGCAAUGGGGGAAAGCCUGACGGAGCAACGCGGCGGGAGUGAUGAAGGUGUUCGGAUCGGAAAACUCUGUUAUUAGGGAAGAACAAAUGUGUAAGUAACUGUGCUCAUCUUGACGGUACCUAAUCAGAAAGCCACGGCUAACUACGUG
RNAcentral lists this ribosomal RNA (497 nucleotides) under uncultured bacterium. RNAcentral describes it as "partial 16S ribosomal RNA". It matches the Rfam family "Bacterial small subunit ribosomal RNA", at positions 28 to 507 of the family's 1533-position model. The record is from RNAcentral.